This 328-nucleotide ribosomal RNA is filed under the name uncultured Methanosaeta sp. Its description in RNAcentral is "bacterial SSU rRNA". It matches the Rfam family "Archaeal small subunit ribosomal RNA", at positions 1012 to 1338 of the family's 1478-position model. The record is from RNAcentral. Lineage: Archaea; Methanobacteriati; Methanobacteriota; Methanomicrobia; Methanotrichales; Methanotrichaceae.
UACUGUGAAGCAUCCUGUUAAGUCAGGCAACGAGCGAGACCCACGUCCACAGUUGCCAGCAUACCCUCCCGGGGUGGAUGGGUACACUGUGGAGACCGCCGCUGCUAAGCGGAGGAAGGAGUGGGCAACGGUAGGUCAGUAUGCCCCGAAUCUCCCGGGCUACACGCGGGCUACAAUGGUUGGUACAAUGGGCAUCUACCCCGAAAGGGGAAGGAAAUCUCUUAAAGCCAAUCGUAGUUCGGAUUGAGGGCUGCAACUCGCCCUCAUGAAGCUGGAAUCCGUAGUAAUCGCGUUUCAACAGAACGCGGUGAAUACGUCCCUGCUCCUU